This 1027-nucleotide unclassified non-coding RNA is filed under the name Leishmania donovani. RNAcentral's name for it is "gene:LdHU3.04.1200(CDS-product:adenylate_kinase_p utative)". Lineage: Eukaryota; Euglenozoa; Kinetoplastea; Trypanosomatida; Trypanosomatidae. The record is from RNAcentral.
CACUGUCAUUCCCCUCCGGAUAUCCCCACACGGCCGCCUCACCUCACUAUUUCCUUUCUGUUGCAAGCAUCGAUGUCAGGCGAGACUCAGCAGCAGCAGCCGCAAGGCAUGACACCCCUGAAGGUGUUCUUCAUCCUUGGCGGGCCCGGCUCUGGCAAGGGCACGAACUGUGCGCGGCUUGUGGAGGACUUUGGCUACACCCAUUUCAGCGCCGGCGAGCUGCUGCGCGAGGCGGCGCGCUCUGGCACAGGCAAUCUGGCCAAGAUCGGCGAUAUCAUCCGCUCUGGAAACAUUGUGCCGAGCGAGAUCACGGUAGAGCUCCUUCGGCAGGCCAUCGCCGAUCACCCGAACUCCGUCGGCUACGUGAUUGACGGCUUCCCGCGCAAGGAGGACCAGGCGCGCAUGUUUGAGGAGGGCAUCGCCAAGCCCACCGGCAUCCUCUACUACGACUGCAGCGAGGCCACCAUGGAGGAACGCCUGCUCUCUCGCGGCGCCAACAGCGGCGAGAAGCGCGACGACGACGCUGCAGAGACGAUUCGGCACCGCUUCCGCGUCAACGUGCAGGAGUGCAUGCCGGUCGUGGAGGCCUAUAAGGCGAAUGGCCGCUGCCACGUCAUUGACGCGAACCGCGACCGCGACACCGUCUACGCCGACACGAAAAAGGUAUUCCUCGAGAUGGGCGAGAAACCUUUGAAGGCAUAGGUGUAUGGAGAGGAAGAGAGCUGAGCUGGCGCUGGGAGCACCGGCGACACAUGCGAGACGAAGAAGCAAUGAACUCAUCGCCACGUGCGCGAGCCUCUGCCAUUCUCUCCCCCUAUAUUGCCUUGAUGGCGCCGUGUGCAACGUGGGGAGGGGGGUUCGUGCGCUCGGCGCUGCCAACGUCGGCACUCCUCCCGCACCGCGCCGCGUUGUGUUUUUUUUUUUGUUUUUCGUUUUCAUGUGUGGGUUUUUUUUUGCUUGAUACCCUUCGCCAUCCUUUCGCCUUUCUUUACUCGCAGGUGGCAUGCGUUGCCUCCGUGGCGCCACC